AUGGUUAGCUCUCACCACCACCCCAAAUCCCAGGUACUGAAAAAAACAGAGGCCAGCUUCCUAAAUACUGUACAUUUGCUUUGCCUGGGUCUCAAAAGUCAUGGUGGAUGCCUAGCGAAGAUAAAAGCAGCAUCCUGUCGAACUACGAGCAACCUCGUACUGGAAGCCAGCUGGACAGAGAAAUCGAGGGGAGAACCAGGCGCAGGGCGACGCUCCCAAAGUUGCCCACACAGGGGGUGUUUUGGGGGGGGGGAGUUGAUCCUCUUUUUCCCACCGGCCUCCCCGCCUGAGGACGGAAAGCAGGGAGCUUUCCAAGGAGACUCGCGCUCGGAUCCCGUCUCCGAGGACAUGAACCGUGCAUGGGCAAGCCUCGGGUCCCGGGUCACUUUUGGGGGUGGUCAGCGCGCCGGGCUCGCCCAGCCCCACAGGCCAGGGGGGCGCCUCCUUACCUGGGGUUGGUGCUGUUCCAAUAGACGGCGUAGCGAUCGGCCACCGUUUUGGAGCUGGGAUCCUGGCAGAAGACGCACAUCCAGAGCAGCAGAAAGACCGCCGUCAACAUCUCCACGUGCAACAUCACUCCCGGCCAAGGCAACGAGACACGCCGCAGGAACGGACGGAGCGUUGCUUUUCUUCUCAAAAAAAAAGAAAAAAGCAAGGACCGGAACAAAGGAGCACACGAAAAAGGACAAAGUAACGAAAGAAAAGAGGGGGGACGAGAACGAGAGAGAGAGAGACACAGAGAGAGUGAGAGAGAGAAAGAGAAAUCACACCAAGUCACCCAACAAACACAAAGAGAGACGCGCCAAGAAGGCCGGCAGCCACGAGGAGGUCCCCCCGGGGAAAAAGCCGGCGCCCGGGAGAGAUCCGGAGGGAGCCUGCGGGCCCCGGGAGGGGGAGCGGCGAGCCGAACCGGGCGGCGGCGGCGGCGGCGGCAACAGACGGGCAACAAGGCGGAGGCGGGAGGAGCUCAUUCACGGCGGCGAGUCCUGUGCGGAGCCCGAGGCGAGACAUACACCAGCCCUGCCCCCGUCCAGCGCCGCUGAGGGGCGGCUCCGCUGUCCUGGCCUCCCCUCCCUGUUCGCAAUCGCCCUCCUUCUCUCGCUCGCUCGCUCGCUCGCUCUUCUCUCUCUCUCUCUCUCUCUCUCUCUCUGGGACUUUUCUUCUUCCCGCCCUUUGGUGCGAGGGCUGUCCGAGGGAGGCCGGCGGGAGCGAGCUGGCAGGAAUCCUCCAAGGCACAGCAAAAAGUCCACUUUGGGUGCUUUGCGCCUCCUCUUCCUCCUCCUCCUCCUCCUCUCGCCCCUUUCGCUCUCUUUCUCCUGCUCGAGUCGGGCGGCCAACGUCGGAGGCGGCGGGCUACCCUCUCCGCGGGAAGGAGGCUCCUCGCCUUCCCUCCUGCUCCUCCUGGGUGAGGGAUGA
Molecule: long non-coding RNA, 1416 nt
Filed under: Pogona vitticeps (central bearded dragon)
Lineage: Eukaryota; Metazoa; Chordata; Lepidosauria; Squamata; Agamidae
Description: lncRNA (ENSPVIG00000010912.1)
Source: RNAcentral